Molecule: small nuclear RNA, 38 nt
Filed under: Cervus elaphus hippelaphus
Lineage: Eukaryota; Metazoa; Chordata; Mammalia; Artiodactyla; Cervidae
Source: RNAcentral
AUUGCUUCUCAGCCUUUUGGCUAAAUCAACUGUAGUAU